This is a long non-coding RNA of Gadus morhua (Atlantic cod), 2166 nucleotides long. RefSeq lists it as uncharacterized. Lineage: Eukaryota; Metazoa; Chordata; Actinopteri; Gadiformes; Gadidae. The record is from RefSeq and is a predicted model, not a curated record. The transcript has 4 exons.
CGGCUCUGCUUCUGCCUUCUCCCCUUUUGAUUAAAUACAUUUUUAUUAUACUUGCAAUAAGGAGCAUUUUUAAAAUCGUCUGUUCUGAUCGAUGGUGCUUUAAAUACUGUUAUCUAUAAAAUCCCAUCCCAUAACCGAUAUAUCUACUGUGUCCCACAUAUAAAACAUGCUGGCCAGCUCGUGGCUCUCUCUUCUUUUACACUCUCAUCGCCGCUCCCUCCCACUCACGGCUCCCACUUGAGAUAGCUACGCUGGUUAGCAUCACAGUAGCACGGCCAGUUGGCCAGAAUUGGGCAGUUAUUGAGCUGUAUUGGUUCUGAUGUCUUCGGUCUACUAGCUGGGAGGGGCUCUACCAUAACCUUACCUUAACCUUAACCUUAACCUUAUCUUAACCUUUAUUCACGAGGUUGGUUAACAAGAGAGGUCCGGGCAAGACUGUGCAGCAUUCUGUAUAAUACAGUAAACAGACAGUACACAGGAGGAAACCUUCAACCUCAUUAAAGGAUUGGAGAAGGCAGAGGAGGAGACCCAGGAGCUCAGAGCUUACAGCUGGACCACCACGUAACUUCUGUCUUUCCAACUUCUACCCACCUUGAUCUCAAAGUCAUCGUUGUUUCAGACGAGGAGAAAAAGAGUCUUAAUUAGGAGUAGAAUGAUUUGAAGGGUGAUUAUACACCCCUCUCACGGCGUGGUUUCACGUUAAUACUCCUACUCCUGGAGUAUUUAUGAGUAGAUGAAAUGCGGGGGCCAGGGACCCCCUUGCAUGCUGUAAAGGCUGCUAUUCGAGAGAGUCAAUUAGGUGAUUACACGGGCGGUCUGACUCUUACUGUGUUCUGCCUUACUGCUCCCUAACGCACCCAUUUGAUUUAAUAUCGGCUCACUGGCAAAUUGCAGGUUUAUUAUUGUUAAAAAUAGCCUGGCCAGAUAGGUCCUCCAAUUUCUGUAAUGGAGCUCUUGAUCUUAAGCCCUGGGGCGAUCCCACCCACUCUGACAACUUGGAGACGGUAGAGUGUGAGCAGCUUGGUGUCAGUUCUCCUGUGUUGGAGGUCGGCUCCAGACUCAUUUCUGCCUGCGAUCGGGGCCGGGUGCACGACUGGAGCUACAGAGACGGACGUCAGGAACAUGAGUAGAAUACGAGUAUAUGCUUUGGGCCCAAAGAGAGGCAGAGGAAAAUAAAAGCGUCCAAUCAAUAACAGAACAGGAGAACUCUAAACGCUGCAGGAGAGAGGAUCCGGAAUCCCAUCCCGCCGUCCCGGGUGGAAGGCAGGACCGCUGCAGGAGCCGAACUCUCCAGGUUCCGCUCCGGGAUCGCUGCCGGGAUCGACGUGAGCGUUCACAAUAAAUGGAAUCGUUUUUUUUGUCGUUGAGCUUCUUCACGCCAACUGGCCAAUUAAAGCAGCUGCUGGAACCUCGGCUGGAACCGCAGUCAGGAGCAAAAUCCGCGGCAAGAGGAAGACAGACGGCGCGGGCUGCUAUGAAAUGCAGCUUUUGUACCGGGACGUGUUUCCAUGGUUACACAAUUUUUCAUGGAGACGUUAUACGUCCUGAAAAUUGGAGGAGAGCCGCGAUAAGAUUAGUAUCUAAUCUCCAAGGAGAUAUAUGGGUUGAUGGACUGUGUCUGAGAGGGAACAAAAUAAAACAAAUAAAGCACAAACGGAACUCGAAAAAAACUUAUGCUGCUAAUAAAACAAAUGUCGUCCGCUGGUAGAAAGUUCAUACUGAGUUUGCCUGCGGCUCGCAGAAUAGCUGGAGAGAAGGACGGAUUGAUGAAUAGAAGACUAGAUCAUGAAUCCCAAAGGGCAGCGCUGGGCCUCUGAGCUCCAUGCUGCUCCUCACGGUGACGACACGUCAGGGGGAGAGAGGGCCGACUCUAACCAGAGUGAAGACCAACAGGAGCUCUUACAUCGGGAGGAUUGAGACAUACCUACACAAGCUGUGAUAUGAGAGCGGCCAUUUCCUGGUGGGAUCUGCAGUGACCAACACUAGUGUCAGUGUUACACGUACACUAACCACCUGUAAUAAUAUCACGUACAGUAACAACCUGUAACACUGUGAACGUAACCCGAGGAACAAGGGUCAGUGUUUGUCCUGUGCAGGAGAUCGACAGGGUGAUCUCUUUGAGACACAGAUAGAAAACAACUACUAAUAAAUCUGUUACGACAAUCA